UUCGGCAGUGUGUUAUAGUCUUUGUCGAUACUGCCAGCUUAACUGAGGACUGCGGCUUCGGCCUAGGAUGUUGGCAUAAUGAUCUUAAGUCGCCCGUCUUGAAACACGGACCCAAACGUCACAGAGGGUGACAAUCCCGUGCGAAGAGAUGUCCCAGACCUCUGUAAAGUUCCUUCCAAUAGUCGAGUUGUUUGGGAAUGCAGCUCUAAGUGGGUGGUAAAUUCCAUCUAAAGCUAAAUAUUGGCGAGAGAUCGAUAGCGAACAAGUACCGUGAUGGAAAGAUGAAAAUAACUUUGAAAAGAGAGUGAAAAAGUACGUGAAAUUGUUUAAAGGGAAGGGCUUGACAUCCAACUUGGUAUUUUGUAUGUUACUCUCUCCGGGGUGGCCUCUACAGUUUACCGGGCCACAUCAGUUUGAGCGGUAGGAUAACUGCAAAGAAAUGUGGCCCUGCUUCGAUAGUGUGUUAUAGCCUUUGUCGAUACUGCCAGCUUAUACUGACGACUGCUGUUUCUCCUAGGAUGCUGGCUAAUGAU
Molecule: ribosomal RNA, 533 nt
Filed under: Lodderomyces parapsilosis
Lineage: Eukaryota; Fungi; Ascomycota; Pichiomycetes; Serinales; Debaryomycetaceae
Description: eukaryotic LSU rRNA
Rfam family: Eukaryotic large subunit ribosomal RNA
Source: RNAcentral